Long non-coding RNA from Acyrthosiphon pisum (pea aphid), 464 nucleotides. RefSeq lists it as uncharacterized. The transcript is spliced from 4 exons. The record is from RefSeq and is a predicted model, not a curated record. NCBI's taxonomy places the organism in Eukaryota, Metazoa, Arthropoda, Insecta, Hemiptera, Aphididae.
GAGCAUUUAUAUAUUUGUUUCCACACAACAAUAUGGCUUUGGAAAAUGUAUUUGAAAAUUAGCUCACAGCUAACUGUAUACCAUUAAUUUGAUCAUGUUGUAUUGACAAUUACUGUAUGAAUAUGGUAUUGAGUGAAACGUAAUGAACUAACGACUUGAGAUCAAAAGAUACAAUGAGGAUAUCAGUUAUGACUUAUAUAUUGAAUGGAUUGUUAGAUUAACAUCAUUUUUUUUUAUAGAAUGUAAAUUAAAUACUAUCUUGCGUCAACACAAAGAACACAACACCCAGCACAUGCAGCUUAAAUUAUUAUAAGGAUUUAUAUACACAACAAUAUUGCUUUGGAAAAUGUUUUGGUGUAUAAAUAUGGUAUGAAAUGAAAUGUUAUGAACAACUUGAGAUCAAAAGAUUACGAUUAAGAUACAAGUUCUGACUUCUACAAUGAAUGGAUUAUUUAUAUAUAUAA